AUAGCGUAUAUUAAAGUUGUUGCAGUUAAAAAGCUCGUAGUUGAAUAUCUGGCCGGUGCUGUUCUUGGCUCCCUGAGUCGGUUCAGCGCCUGGUUAUCCGUAUGGGAAACCAGCUCGACCUUCACUGUGUCGGCUGGCGGAUCAUACACUUUACUUUGAAAAAAUUAGAGUGUUUCAGGCAGGCAAUUGCUUGGAUACUGUAGCAUGGAAUAAUGGAAUAGGACUUUGACCUAUUUGUUGGUUUCUCGAGGUCAAAGUAAUGAUUAAUAGGGACAGUUGGGGGCAUUCGUAUUUAAUUGUCAGAGGUGAAAUUCUUGGAUUUUUUAAAGACGAACUUAUG
This 340-nucleotide ribosomal RNA is filed under the name Bresslaua vorax. RNAcentral describes it as "SSU rRNA". It matches the Rfam family "Eukaryotic small subunit ribosomal RNA", at positions 594 to 945 of the family's 1831-position model. Lineage: Eukaryota; Ciliophora; Colpodea; Colpodida; Colpodidae. The record is from RNAcentral.